Long non-coding RNA from Tachysurus fulvidraco (yellow catfish), 1788 nucleotides. RefSeq lists it as uncharacterized. The transcript has 4 exons. The record is from RefSeq and is a predicted model, not a curated record. NCBI's taxonomy places the organism in Eukaryota, Metazoa, Chordata, Actinopteri, Siluriformes, Bagridae.
UUUGGGUCUUUUGACGUGAAAUUUUUUUGGUGAAAGCCAUGACAUGUGGCUAUGAUGCUCAGUUGUUGUUUUGUCCCUAGCAUGUUCCAGAAAAAUAAGAUUAAUAAUAAACUGUUUUUUACAGUUAAUAAUUAACUGUUGCCCAUGACUCUUUCAGUGUAAUAUUGGCAGUCUCUGUGUCAGAAAGCCUGUUUUACUUCUCUUUUACUUGUUAUUUCUUGUUGGCCUUUUUCUUUAUUUUCUUUCUUCCCUGAACUUUUUGCUCUCGAUUCUCUAUUUUGAGCGUGUCAGCCCUUUUUUAUCUAAACAAACAAGAUACCUAACGCACUUAAUCCCAGCUGCCUGUCUAGGUUCCUAACUCUAAUUAUACAACCAUUAUUAUAAUAUUAUUUUUUAUUCAAAUUUGAUAAAAUCUAAUUAUUAUUGUACAGAAUCUUAAUUACCAUUUUCCUAUAAUCAAACUCUUACAAUUUACACAUUUCGUGAACUAAAUUUCUCAUCUUCCUCACGUCCAUUUGUUCCGAUUCCGACAUCGAGGUGGCUCACAGUGUAUUCAGAAGUCCUCUCUCACACUGAGCCAAUCGUGCGGUUAAGGAGUUCCCAUCGCUGCCCUAAGGCACAUAAUCCUGCCAACAAUGCCAGCUUCUUGUAAUAGCAUGGGCAAGACUAAAAAUGUUCUCAAUUUAUUGUGUGCCACUUCACAGCAGGACCAGUCAAGAUACUAUUUAUACCAGUUUUGGGAGGUGAUCAGUGAUGAGCACAGAAUCGACCCAACCGGCACCUACCACAGUGACAGCGACCUGCAGCUGGAGCGGAUUAACGUGUUUUACAACGAAGCCACUGAAAGUGUGAAAUGGUCGCUAAACCCAUGUUAGAGCUUGUGCUGAUCCUCGCCCUGCUCCGUCAUGUGCAGCCGAUGUGGGUUAGACUCCAACGCAGCCAGAGGAACCCCAGACCUAGCGGUGAUAUGGAGCAAUAUCCGGUAUCCCUCGGAACCAUCAUUCAAGGAGCACUCUCAGAUUUCUAAUGCCACCAGUGCAGAAAGGUCAGCUAUUCACUAUGCAGAAUGUGAUUGCUGCAGUCCAAAAUGGAGAGAGAGAUUUUGAAAUGGACUCAGAUGACACUGAUGCAAGUGACUCAGAGAAUGAAGAUGCAGGUCCAAUGGACAAAGAAAACCACCAACCCAUUGACUGCCCAGCCAAUGAGGAUGUGGACAUCAAGCCCAACCAAAGGAAUACACCUUUCCCCAUGACAGAUAUCGCUGGCUGAAAAGGAGUUUUCUAAAUAUAUUUUUUUCAAUAUUUACAUUAAUCAAUGCAAAAAAUGUUGUGUGGUUAUUACUCAUGAUAUAUACUGUUGGGGCAAAGUAAGCAAUCAACCCUGCAAAUAAAUGCUUAAAUGCUCUGUAUAUCUGUUCAGACAAAGUGAGUACAAAUACAGAAAUUCUGCUCCUAGCAGAGCCCAACGUUGCAAUAUUACAACAUUUCCGUAAAAACUUACUACAAUGUAAAACAUUUGAAAAACCUUUAAUUUCUACACCAGAGGCCUCCUAAAACAAUGUAUGAGAGGUCAAAUAAUUUUUUGCUUAUUUUUUUCAAUAUUUGGGUUUUACAGGGUUGAAGACACAAGCACAUAUUCUGCGGCUCUGUAUAGAAAAUGUUAACCUUAAAAAAAUAAAUAAAUGAAGUGAUAUAACCCACUACAUUCUAGAAUGAUAUUCUAGUGGGUUACAUGCUCCCCCUGCUAAACAUCUCAUGACAUGAGAUUACUUAUCUACACUUUAAUGGU